Molecule: long non-coding RNA, 1755 nt
Organism: Gallus gallus (chicken)
Lineage: Eukaryota; Metazoa; Chordata; Aves; Galliformes; Phasianidae
Source: Ensembl
AUGUGGGGUGACCAGUGGUGCUCUUGGUCUGGACAGAGCCCCCAGCUGUUGGGAUGCGGCCUUUGGAGAAUGACUGCAGAAACACUGGGAGCUGCUAAGGAGAGUCCUGGGAGAUGCUUGGGUCAAAGGGAGCUGUGGGGAGCCCCCCAGCCCCCCAAGUCCUUGUGCUUCAUGGGAAGACCCAAAUGCUGAAGGGCUCCCAUGCUGUGCUUCCCCAUGUGCUGGACAUCCUCCCAGUGCGUGAAUUCCCCAGCGUGUGGGUGCGGGAGGGGGGUGGUGCAGAUUGUGCUGAGGGAUGUGGUUAAUGGUAAUGGGUUGGCGGUUGGAUUUGAUUUUCCAUGGUUCUGUGAUUUGCUGCUCCUGUCUGCCUGGCGCAGGAAGAUAAAAGCUGCCGUUGCAAAAACGCUGUGACUUCCAAAGGUGCCCAAAGCACAGCACAUCUUGGUGGAGUGUGCUGCUUGACGAGUCUGGCUUCCUAGCAGUGCUGGGGGUGCCCUCAUCCUGUCCUUCACCAGCAGUUAGAAACCUGCACAGGGGGCAGCAUGCAGAUGGGGGAGUGGUGGUGGUGGAAUCCCCACCUUGAUGCUUGUUGUAUUGCUCUGAUGUGAAGGAUGCUGGUGGGGGCUGCUGGGGCUGUGUGAAUCCAGCCCUGCCUGCUGUGCAGGAAGCAGAGGCAGGCUCCUCUGUGCAAAGCAUCUGCAGCAAUGUCCUUUGCUGACAGUAUGCAUCAAAUCUGAUGUGCCUUGGGGAGAAGAGGUGGGAAAAGGAGAGAGAAGCAGGAGAAGCUGUAGCGGGCAGCUGGAGAAGCGUGGGGCUCCCAGAGCGUGCCCUCCUGUGGGCUGCUGGUCAGGUGCUGCUGGUGAAUAUCACACCUCAAAACACCUCUGCACCUCCCCCCAAACACUUGGCUAUUCCCAAGAUGAGCUCAGGUUCCAUUUUGGAGCAUAUGAUGCUACUAGGGGUGGUUGGAAGGUGCCUAAUUAAGUUUGGCUGUUGUGUAUUAGCUGGUGGUUCAGCUUUGUGCAUGUGUGGUGUUGGACAGCAUUUAUCAUAAUACCUUCUACUGCUUUGUGCAUUUAUUGCGAUGCCUUUCACCCCUUUGUACCCCCCAGGCUGUGGUUGUACUCUAUAACACAGACCCAAAGCUGUGAGGGGAAGGAUCUCGGCCCAGAUCUGCAAUGCAAAAAGGUGGAGGAGGUAUGAGGCUGAAGGUGGAGGACCCUCCUGCUUUGGGUUCCUGAAGUUUGGAAGAAGUGCAAUUAGAAUGAACUAACACAAAGGAAGAUGCAAUAACAGAGGUAUGUUGAACACAAUACAGGCAUGAGAAUCAAUGCAUGCAUGAAGAGCGCUUUGCUGCGGACUCAGAACUGGAGCGCAGUUGGAAAGCAGAACUCUGCAGCCACUUUAAGAAAUCCAGUUGGAAAAUAAGACUAAGUAAACAUUUACUCGAGCCUGGGCUGGCUGCAUGCAUGACUGCAGUGGGAAUUCUUCACACUGCCCUGUUAAUGCUCUCAUCUGCUGGGUUAAUGCACGCCGGCAGCGGGAGGAGCUGCGGGCUGAGCCCCUCCAGGUGCUUUUGGAGCCUCUCUGUUAAACACCACUCCUGCUUUUUAAUGAACCCAACUUCCAAUGCAAAUUAGAUUCCAAAUAAUAAGUAAUUAACUUUAUCAAAUUGACAUUACCAUUUAUAACAAAAUGUCAACACUGCCUUUAUAAACAAGGCAGGGCUGCUAUUUGCGGAGUUGGCGGGGGGAG